UACGAAGGGGGCUAACGUUGUUCGGAAUUACUGGGCGUAAAGGGCGCGUAGGCGGUACUUCAAGUCAGGCGUGAAAGCCCCGGGCUCAACCUGGGAACCGCGCUUGAGACUGGAGAACUAGAGUUCGGGAGAGGAUGGUGGAAUUCCCAGUGUAGAGGUGAAAUUCGUAGAUAUUGGGAAGAACACCGAUGGCGAAGGCAGCCAUCUGGACCGACACUGACGCUGAGGCGCGAAAGCGUGGGGAGCAAACAGG
RNAcentral lists this ribosomal RNA (253 nucleotides) under uncultured bacterium. RNAcentral's name for it is "partial 16S ribosomal RNA". It matches the Rfam family "Bacterial small subunit ribosomal RNA", at positions 524 to 776 of the family's 1533-position model. The record is from RNAcentral.